RNAcentral lists this ribosomal RNA (722 nucleotides) under Aquitalea sp. M060824-6. RNAcentral's name for it is "bacterial SSU rRNA". It matches the Rfam family "Bacterial small subunit ribosomal RNA", at positions 58 to 775 of the family's 1533-position model. The record is from RNAcentral. Lineage: Bacteria; Pseudomonadati; Pseudomonadota; Betaproteobacteria; Neisseriales; Chromobacteriaceae.
CAAGUCGAACGGUAACAGGGAGCUUGCUCCGCUGACGAGUGGCGAACGGGUGAGUAAUGCGUCGGAACGUGCCGAGUAGUGGGGGAUAACUAUCCGAAAGGAUAGCUAAUACCGCAUACGCUUCGAGAAGGAAAGCAGGGGAUCUUCGGACCUUGCGCUAUUCGAGCGGCCGACGUCUGAUUAGCUAGUUGGUGAGGUAAAGGCUCACCAAGGCAUCGAUCAGUAGCGGGUCUGAGAGGAUGAUCCGCCACACUGGGACUGAGACACGGCCCAGACUCCUACGGGAGGCAGCAGUGGGGAAUUUUGGACAAUGGGCGCAAGCCUGAUCCAGCCAUGCCGCGUGUCUGAAGAAGGCCUUCGGGUUGUAAAGGACUUUUGUCAGGGAGGAAAUCCCUAGCGUUAAUACCGCUGGGGGAUGACAGUACCUGAAGAAUAAGCACCGGCUAACUACGUGCCAGCAGCCGCGGUAAUACGUAGGGUGCAAGCGUUAAUCGGAAUUACUGGGCGUAAAGCGUGCGCAGGCGGUUGUGUAAGUCUGAUGUGAAAGCCCCGGGCUUAACCUGGGAACUGCAUUGGAGACUGCACAGCUAGAGUGCGUCAGAGGGGGGUAGAAUUCCGCGUGUAGCAGUGAAAUGCGUAGAGAUGCGGAGGAAUACCGAUGGCGAAGGCAGCCCCCUGGGAUGACACUGACGCUCAUGCACGAAAGCGUGGGGAGCAAACAG